This 492-nucleotide ribosomal RNA is filed under the name uncultured bacterium. RNAcentral describes it as "partial 16S ribosomal RNA". It matches the Rfam family "Bacterial small subunit ribosomal RNA", at positions 29 to 507 of the family's 1533-position model. The record is from RNAcentral.
AGUGAGCGCUGGCGGUAGGCCUAACACAUGCAAGUCGAACGGCAGCACAGUAAGAGCUUGCUCUUACGGGUGGCGAGUGGCGGACGGGUGAGGAAUACAUCGGAAUCUACUUUUUCGUGGGGGAUAACGUAGGGAAACUUACGCUAAUACCGCAUACGACCUACGGGUGAAAGCAGGGGAUCUUCGGACCUUGCGCGAUUGAAUGAGCCGAUGUCGGAUUAGCUAGUUGGCGGGGUAAAGGCCCACCAAGGCGACGAUCCGUAGCUGGCCUGAGAGGAUGAUCAGCCACACUGGAACUGAGACACGGUCCAGACUCCUACGGGAGGCAGCAGUGGGGAAUAUUGGACAAUGGGCGCAAGCCUGAUCCAGCCAUACCGCGUGGGUGAAGAAGGCCUUCGGGUUGUAAAGCCCUUUUGUUGGGAAAGAAAAGCAGCAGGUUAAUACCCCGCUGUUCUGACGGUACCCAAAGAAUAAGCACCGGCUAACUUCGUG